RNAcentral lists this unclassified non-coding RNA (358 nucleotides) under soil metagenome. RNAcentral's name for it is "partial contains 5.8S ribosomal RNA, internal transcribed spacer 2, and large subunit ribosomal RNA". The stretch from base 1 to 120 matches the Rfam family "5.8S ribosomal RNA", at positions 35 to 154 of the family's 154-position model. The record is from RNAcentral.
GAUGAAGAACGCAGCGAAAUGCGAUAAGUAGUGUGAAUUGCAGAAUUCAGUGAAUCAUCGAAUCUUUGAACGCACAUUGCGCCCGUCAGUAUUCUGGCGGGCAUGCCUGUUCGAGCGUCAUUACGCCCCUCAAGUCCCCUGUGGACUUGGUGUUGGGGAUCGGCGAGGCUGGUUUUCCAGCACAGCCGUCCCUUAAAUUAAUUGGCGGUCUCGCCGUGGCCCUCCUCUGCGCAGUAGUAAAACACUCGCAACAGGAGCCCGGCGCGGUCCACUGCCGUAAAACCCCCCAACUUUUUAUAGUUGACCUCGAAUCAGGUAGGACUACCCGCUGAACUUAAGCAUAUCAAUAAGCGGAGGA